UUAGUACAUUUUCCAGACCUUUCAUUUUUUUUUUUUUAAUUCUCAGAAAAGUUUACAGAUACUAUAUGUAAAUGAUAUCCAGAUGUCUCUAAAGACGCAGUUGGGUUUUAUCUCUUUAUCGUUAAACUCCCAGUAAACAAUAUCACAUUGAUGCAUACAUGCUGAUAGGGGCUUAAAUGAUGGUUGGGAAGCCAUACCUGCCCUGUAUACUUGGGCACACCCUCUGUAUAUGCUUAUGAUAAUCCUCAUUUUGCAAUCUGUAAUUAAAAGUUGCUUGUUUUCGAUCUAAAUUUAAUUACACAAUACAAUCCACCUUGUUAUGUAUCGUAUUAGGAAACUUUUUAUUUUUUUCCCAUAAGGCAUUGAUCACUGAGAACAC
Non-coding RNA from Pelobates cultripes (western spadefoot toad), 379 nucleotides. NCBI's taxonomy places the organism in Eukaryota, Metazoa, Chordata, Amphibia, Anura, Pelobatidae. The record is from the annotation of a GenBank genome assembly.